UGCCCCAGUAACGGCGAGUGAAGCGGCAACAGCUCAAAUUUGAAAUCUGGCUCUCGGGCCCGAGUUGUAAUUUGUAGAGGAUGCUUUUGGUGAGGUGCCUUCCGAGUUCCCUGGAACGGGACGCCAUAGAGGGUGAGAGCCCCGUCUGGUUGGACGCCGAACCUCUGUAAAGCUCCUUCGACGAGUCGAGUAGUUUGGGAAUGCUGCUCUAAAUGGGAGGUAUAUGUCUUCUAAAGCUAAAUACCGGCCAGAGACCGAUAGCGCACAAGUAGAGUGAUCGAAAGAUGAAAAGAACUUUGAAAAGAGAGUUAAACAGUACGUGAAAUUGUUGAAAGGGAAGCGCUUGUGACCAGACUUGGGCUUGGUUGAUCAUCCGGGGUUCUCCCCGGUGCACUCUUCCGGCCCAGGCCAGCAUCAGUUCGCCCUGGGGGACAAAGGCUUCGGGAACGUGGCUCUCUCCGGGGAGUGUUAUAGCCCGUUGCGUAAUACCCUGUGGCGGACUGAGGUUCGCGCAUUCGCAAGGAUGCUGGCGUAAUGGUCAUCAGUGACCCGUCUUGAAACACGGACCAAGGAGUCGUCUUCGUAUGCGAGUGUUCGGGUGUCAAACCCCUACGCGAAAUGAAAGUGAACGCAGGUGAGAGCUUCGGCGCAUCAUCGACCGAUCCUGAUGUUAUCGGAUGGAUUUGAGUAAGAGCAUACGGGGCCGGACCCGAAAGAAGGUGAACUAUGCCUGUGUAGGGUGAAGCCAGAGGAAACUCUGGUGGAGGCUCGCAGCGGUUCUGACGUGCAAAUCGAUCGUCAAACAUGGGCAUG
This 813-nucleotide ribosomal RNA is filed under the name Fusarium petroliphilum. Its description in RNAcentral is "eukaryotic LSU rRNA". It matches the Rfam family "Eukaryotic large subunit ribosomal RNA", at positions 76 to 919 of the family's 3401-position model. The record is from RNAcentral. Lineage: Eukaryota; Fungi; Ascomycota; Sordariomycetes; Hypocreales; Nectriaceae.